RNAcentral lists this ribosomal RNA (626 nucleotides) under uncultured bacterium. RNAcentral describes it as "bacterial SSU rRNA". It matches the Rfam family "Bacterial small subunit ribosomal RNA", at positions 249 to 885 of the family's 1533-position model. The record is from RNAcentral.
UUGGUGGGGUGAUGGCCUACCAAGGCGACGACGGGUAGCCGGCCUGAGGGGGUGUCCGGCUACACUGGGACUGAGAUACGGCCCAGACUCCUACGGGAGGCAGCAGUGGGGAAUAUUGCACAAUGGGCGCAAGCCUGAUGCAGCGACGCCGCGUGAGGGAUGACGGCCUUCGGGUUGUAAACCUCUUUCAGUAUCGACGAAGCGCAAGUGACGGUAGGUACAGAAGAAGCACCGGCCAACUACGUGCCAGCAGCCGCGGUAAUACGUAGGGUGCGAGCGUUGUCCGGAAUUACUGGGCGUAAAGAGCUCGUAGGUGGUUUGUCGCGUUGUCCGUGAAAACUCGCAGCUUAACUGUGGGCGUGCGGGCGAUACGGGCAGACUGGAGUACUGCAGGGGAGACUGGAAUUCCUGGUGUAGCGGUGGAAUGCGCAGAUAUCAGGAGGAACACCGGUGGCGAAGGCGGGUCUCUGGGCAGUAACUGACGCUGAGGAGCGAAAGCGUGGGGAGCGAACAGGAUUAGAUACCCUGGUAGUCCACGCCGUAAACGGUGGGUACUAGGUGUGGGUUUCCUUCCUUGGGAUCCGUGCCGUAGCUAACGCAUUAAGUACCCCGCCUGGGGAGUACGG